CAGGGUUUAGGGUUAGAAAGGGUUUAGGGUUAGGUAGGGUUUAGGGUUAGGUAGGGUUUAGGGUUAGGUAGGGUUUAGGGUUAUGUAGGGUUUAGGGUUAGUAGGGUUUAGGUUUAGGCAGGGUUUAGGGUUAGCAGGGUUUACGUUUAGGGUUAGGUAGGGUUUAGGGUUAGAAAGGGUUUAGGGUUAGGUAGGAUUUAGGGUUAGGCAGGGUUUAGGGUUAGGUAGGGUUUAGGGUUAGAAAGGGUUUAGGUUUAGUAGGGUUUAGGGUUAGUAGGGUUUUGGGCUACUAGGAUUUAGGGUUAUAAAGGGUUUAGGGUUAGGUAGGGUUUAGGGUUAGAAAGGGUUUAGGGUUAUAAAGGGUUUAGGGUUAGGUAGGGUUUAGGGUUAGAAAAGGUUUAGGGUUAGUAGGGUUUAGGGUUAGGUAGGGAUUUGAAUUAGGUAGGGUUUAGGGUUAGGUAGGGUUUAGGGUUAGUAGGGUUUAGGGUUAGUAGGGUUUAGGGUUAGGUAAGGUUUAGGGCUAGAAAGGGUUUAGGGUUAGAAAGGUUUUAGGGUUAGGUAGGGUUUAGGUUAGGUAGGGUUUGGAGUUAGUAGGGUAUAGGGUUAGGUAGGGUUUAGGGUUAGAAAGGGUUUAGGGUUAUGUAGGGUUUAGGGUUAGUAGGGUUUAGGGUUAGGUAGAGUUUAGGGUUAGGUAGGGUUUACGUUUAGGUUUAGGUAGGGUUUACGGUUAGAUAGGUUUAGGGUUUAGGUAGUAGGAAGGGAUUAGGGUUAGGUUUAUGUAGGGUUUAGGGUUAGAUAGGGUUAAGGUCUAGGUUUAGGGUUAGAUAGGAUUUAGGGUUUAGGUAAUAGGAAAGUUUUAGCGUUUAGUUUAGAUUGGAUUUAGUGUUUGGUUUAGAAUAAUGCUUAGGAUUAUAGGGUUUAGGAUUUGUUUGUUUUUUUGUUUAUGCAUUUAGUGCUGAAUUUUUUGGAUAAAAAAUUAUAUUAAAAUUAUUGAUUUAAAUUUUUCUUAAAAUGUUA
This 1017-nucleotide long non-coding RNA is filed under the name Brassica napus (rape). RNAcentral describes it as "long non-coding RNA (BNAP_LNC005663)". The record is from RNAcentral. Lineage: Eukaryota; Viridiplantae; Streptophyta; Magnoliopsida; Brassicales; Brassicaceae.